RNAcentral lists this unclassified non-coding RNA (308 nucleotides) under Hevea brasiliensis (rubber tree). Lineage: Eukaryota; Viridiplantae; Streptophyta; Magnoliopsida; Malpighiales; Euphorbiaceae. The record is from RNAcentral.
GGGCGACCCAGAGGAAGGUGCGGAAGAGGCGGGGGAAGAUGGAGGGGAUGGCGGAGAGGGAGGAGGCGAAGGAGACGGGCUUGGCGGCGUAGAGAGAAGCGACGGUGAAGACGACGGCCGCGGUGGAGAGGAGGGAGAAGGUGAAGAGGAAGAGGAGGUAGGUGAGCUGGUAGAGGAGGAGGAGAGCCCACUGGGGGCCAUCGACGGAGGCGGUGGAGCUCAGCCGGAGGAGGAUCGGGUGGGUGAAGAGGGUGUGGGCGAGGACGGCGAAGGAGAGGGGGAAGACGAGGGUGAGGGUGAGAAGGGAG